This is a long non-coding RNA of Strigops habroptila (Kakapo), 4961 nucleotides long. RefSeq lists it as uncharacterized. The transcript has 2 exons. Lineage: Eukaryota; Metazoa; Chordata; Aves; Psittaciformes; Psittacidae. The record is from RefSeq and is a predicted model, not a curated record.
AUUAACAAUUUUAUGGCUGAGGUUCUUGUAAUUUGUGAUUUUACCAUUUUUAUCUGAUUUGAGAGCUCAAAAGAUUACAUCUUAACAUUAGAAACUUUGUAAUUAAGAUUUAUAACAGUAAGUUGUGUCAUAGCUAACAAGAGAAUAGAAAUAGCAGAUAGAACCAUAUAAACUUUGGAUAGUGGGAGAAUACAUAUUUUACUAUAAACUGGGGUCUGCCAAGAUUUUGUAAGGACCAGAAACCUUUUAUAACCAGUUUCAUGUUAAUCUGAACAAACCACUCAAUUCAUAGUUGACUUUUAAGCAGUAGAGUGGGAUAGUACGUCUUUAAUUAUUCCCCAAAUAUGCUUUUUUAAUUAUCUUCUUAUUUGUUAAGUAAGUCUGUACCACCUUCAUACCAAUAUUUAGCACCAUGUAAUGGGAUAUUCACCAUUUAGCUUCUGGGGAAUGUACAGUAUGUUAUUUACUCUGCACUAGAAUAAAGGGUCCAAUUGUAAUAAAAGUUCAUCCUUGCUUUCUGUGGUAGAACGUCAAUGCUGGAAGAGCAACAGCAUGCUUUUGACCAUGAAGCUGUAGCUUAUUUACAAACAAAAGAAUGCCCCCCUCCCUCUUUUCCCAUUUGCUUAUUCAUGAUGAUGAUUUCAUUAAUAGUACUACAGGUUGGGUUUCCUUUACACUGGAAACUAGGGUAAGUUUUAAUCACUUUGUCUUAAACAGAACUGGACCAGUGCAUACCAAACAAGCACAGCCUGGCAUUUCAGUAUGAGCCCCACUACUUUUAGCAUCUCUGUAUGCUGUAUGAGAAUACUGGUGCUGAAAGAUAUAACUAUACACACAGGCACAUAUAAUCAUGUUUUCUUAGAAAAUGGAAAAUAACACAUUUCUUGAGGGGGUGGGUAAUGGACCAAGAACUAGUAAUAUACCAGGAUGUCUGUUACCCGCCUCCUACCAAGAAAGAAUUGUAUUUUCUUAACAAAGUUAUUUGGAUAGAGGGUGGAUAGGUGGGAAAUCUUGGGUUUUUUUGGUAACAGACAUGCUGGAGAGAAACAGCUUUGGUUGUCAGUCAAAAGGCAGUUUAAACUCAGAUUAAUUUUAGGGAUUUGGUGGGGGCUUUUUGUUACUGCAAUUUAACUUAAAAAAAGAUAGUUCUUAAUUGCAAGCUUAUGCCACUGCUCUUUGACAGUGAAAUUAUAUUGUGUUUCAUUGCUUUCACACAGCAGUUCAUAGCUAUAGCCUACAGACUAGUAUAUAUGCGUAGUAUUAACAAAACAUUAGUACAUCGGGUUCAACAGUGGUCCGUGUUAUUUCUGUAGCAACACUGCAGGCUUCUGGCACUGUAAGGGGGCAGAUAUGCUGCAAGUUCAUAGGGAACAAACAAAUAAUCCCAUUAUACUGUCUUGUGGCAGAUAUUUUCUUUUGUGGCUGUGCAGAAUGACUGCCAAUAUUGUUCUCUAUGCUGCCUGCUGGUAGCUGGGGGAAGGACGGAGGAGCCUUUUAGUUCAUAUGUUCUAUUACAAGAAAACAAACUGGUAACAAAAUGCUAAUGGAGCUCUUCCCCCUACUCCUUGGGAGGCAGAGUCUUCUGAGUUUGGCAGCUCGUACUUCUCUGAAUCCUUGAGUCUCCCUUACCUCGUUGACCUGGAUGCUCUGUGCCUAGCAAUGCUUCUGCUGUCUAUGAGCAGAGGCUGCAGGAAUGCUCCUCCCACUCUCCUCCCCAUAACACUGACCAUGCUACCUCUGCAGAGGAAAAAAUCCCAACCUUGAGUUCUGCUUCAACCUUACAGGUAUUAAAAGCUCUAGCCCUCAGCCAUGAGUAAUAUCCACUCCUGUUUGUGUUAAUUUGUGCACUGCAGGACCUCUGAUUUAACUUAAUACAAUUGUAAUUCUCUUCUUUUGUCAAAAGCUUGUGAGUAUACAUGAAAGAGUAAGAGAGAGAAUAAGGAAGAAGUGGCUGUCACUCGGUGUUUUCUUUGAGAUAUUUUCCCCAAGGCUUAGGUUUCUUCAGAGCACAUACAAAUACACUGAGGAGCACACAGUAAAACAUCAAAGGUAAGUUGCUGCUUGAGGUGAGAACAAGUUCUUAUGCCAGGUCUAGCUCUCCAUGAUGACAGUCAUGACUGGCACACAGAGGCCAUUUCCAUGCAUCAGUCUCUGCAUUGAGGUUUUUCUGAAAUAUUUCUGUGGUUCAAUCACUGGGAAAGAUCUCAAGCCACAAGAAAAUGGAUUAAAGAUUCAGCUUUCACUGCGUGUUCUAUCUGUGUUAAGAAAAGCUAACAGUUUGAUCCCCCUCAGGCAAGGCCAGAGCUCUGGAGCCAGCUGCUGGCAAUGCUGUGUGGGCUGUGAAAGGUCUCCAGAAGAGCAUAUACCAUCUGCAACAGCUAUGUUUCUGUAACAUCCCAAGCAGCUCCUGCUGUUUUUUCAGGACUGAGUAGUAGCUUUGCUGUGGCUGUUACCUUUAGAGCUUUAAAACGUGGUAUUACCAUUGUUCUGAAUGAAACUGGAAGCAUCUUUUUGCAGAAAACAGGUCCAGGUAUACUCAGGUGAGCAAAGAUUCAUCUCUGACUUGUUCAGACAAUACAACCUGUGCAAAUAACUGUGAAUGCCUACAGGCAUAUGUGAGGAAUGCAUGGCAUGACUAGCACUGGGGAAGGGAAGGCAGGACACUUUACUCAUAGUAAAGCAGACUGAUGUAGACCAGAUGUUGCAGGUGUAGCAGGUCUGCAGUAUUUGACUUUUUUGUGAGACUAAAGCUUUUGUCUGUCACGUGCAUAGCGUAAGACUUACGAUUCCUUUAGCUGUUGCUUCUCUUUGUCCAUAAGGCAGGCACUUAAAAAGACUUUCAGGAUAUGAGUUAAAAUUAUUUCCUGAUUUUUAAUGGAUGCUUGUUCCAAAAUAAUCUGCAGUUUUGUUUUUUAGGCUUUCACAUGAGAAGACUGGAAGUUGGCUGAUGACCUGAUUAUGUUCUUGAGGGAAUGCAGUCUUUCUAGAGGAAUCCCUACAGCAACCUGUCUCACCCCACCAAGGUAGCCACUGUCCCUGCACACCCAACUUAGCAAAGUAUAAUGCAGGAAUUCAUACUUCACAAGUGAAACAAGUAUCUCCAACAGCCAUAAGCAUUAGGAAGGUCCAUGACUUCCUUUCUAAACUGCAAUGUAGGACAAAAUGCAUUACCUUCACAGUGAAUGACUGUUUCUACAGAGAAGUCAUAGAAUCGUAGAAUUGGUUAGAUUGGAAACGAUCCUUAAGAUCAUUGAGUCCAACUGUUAACCUCAAUGGAAUCAGAUUUCAGACUUUUUAAUUCCUAUUGACAAGAGUGGCAGCAGAACUGGCCUGAUGGGGUUUACUCCGUACAUGUCUUUGCCCUUUUUCGCCAGUGGGAGUGAUCAACUGUAAAGUGAUUUAGCUGUAAUGAAAGCAUGAAGGACAGUAUCAGGCUGGUUUUGAGCUACAGGGAGAAAAGUUUUCUGCAGACAAAUCCAAGGGAGAAACAGACCUAUUCCUCAAAAACAAUAAAAAGUUUCUGAAUUCUUCUUCAAUAUUUUAAGAAGCCUUCUCUUCAUUCUCAGAGUAAAUACAGCAUUUUUUCAAGCCCGAAAAAUGUUCCAAGCAAAUGGGAUAAAUGCAAGAGCAAAGUUUUUAUAGACUGCAACCUUAACUGCAGAGAGAAAAAAAUACCUCUCCAUAAGAAAGCAGCUUGUGAGUGAGUGGAGUUAACACAGGUACAUGAAUUUUAUGUGUUUCUUCAGUUAUGGCUUGAAAAUAUCAGUCCUCAGUAGUAAUAUAAGACAAGAUCUGAAAACUGUUCAGUGUGUUCACUGACCUAGUGAACUGAUCUUUUUCUAAGUUUCAAAAAACUGAAAAGGUGAAAUAAUGAUUUUCAGUAAGGUACUGUUUCACUGAAUGAGAAUGAAGGAAUAGCCUCUUUAGGAAGACCUCUUUCUUACAGGGUAAAUUUCCUUGGCUGGGUCUUCCCUGAUGACAUCCUUUUCUUCCAAGCCUGUAUGCUUUAAAUUUGCCUCUUCUGAGGAAGAAAUGGAAUUAAGAUAGCCUAGGUAGUACAUGGGAAGACACUGACUUCGGUUAAUCCUUACUUUUGCACAUCAGACUCUAGAUGAAUGGUUCCAGCUUGACCUGUUCCUAAAGCUUCAGUUAUGGCUUUAAAAAUUGGCCUGGUCCUAUGGAAGAAAGACCACCAUGUAUUAAAGCAUUAGUUGAAAUUAAAAAGGUGAACAUAAAACAGUGCACAAUAAAUGCAGGCUGCUGUUGGAGGGAGUGGAUUUUUCUGCUACUUUCAGACCCCGAUGCCCAUAGUUGCUGAUUAGAGGAGAUGGAGGGUCCUUCUGAAAGAGGCUGGUUGCUGAUGGACGGCUUCAGUGCCUGAGGGUGCUGGAUGCCCUGAAGUAGGAAAGGAACUUGUAGCAGAGGCUCACCACAAAGUACCAGAUGUUUCGAGCCAUCUGUGACCUUGCAAUGAAAAUGCGCCAGAUGAUCACAAGAAGCGUGGUGUUGAAUGCGUAUCGGAUGUUCCUUAGCCUGAGAAAGAGAAAGAGGCAUCUUAUGGAGGAAGACAAAAACAACAAAGAGCUUACCAGAUUGCUUCAUUUGCUACAGGUAAUUUUGUAAGAAUUCCUGUUUACAAGUGGCUCUUGGGCUUUUUGCCAUUCCUAUUUUAGUGAAGACACUGUGCCUAAGAUGUCCCUGCCAAAGACUGUGUUGAAGUUAGGGUACAAUGAAUAGUUACUGGUAUGGGUGGAAUACCUGUAUUACAAGUCUCUCUUGUUCUGUGUACUCUCAGUAUGACUGCUGUUCUGGUCUGAAGUGAGCAUUUUUAUUUCAUGAUAUUCUAGGUCCAAUACCUUUGUCUUUGAUUUGGUAUAUUGGCUAUUUUUCACUUUGCAGAAUUGGUAGCGGGCUAGAGGGCCUUUGCAAGAGAUGAUGAAUAAAGUUUUUCCAUUUGGGUA